RNAcentral lists this ribosomal RNA (500 nucleotides) under uncultured bacterium. RNAcentral's name for it is "partial 16S ribosomal RNA". It matches the Rfam family "Bacterial small subunit ribosomal RNA", at positions 30 to 523 of the family's 1533-position model. The record is from RNAcentral.
AUUGAACGCUGGCGGAAUGCUUUACACAUGCAAGUCGAACGGCAGCACGGACUUCGGUCUGGUGGCGAGUGGCGAACGGGUGAGUAAUGUAUCGGAACGUGCCCAGUCGUGGGGGAUAACGUAGUGAAAAUUACGCUAAUACCGCAUACGAUCUAUGGAUGAAAGCGGGGGAUCGCAAGACCUCGUGCGAUUGGAGCGGCCGAUAUCAGAUUAGGUAGUUGGUGGGGAAAAGGCCCACCAAGCCAACGACCUGUAGCGGGUCUGAGAGGACGAACAGCCACACUGGAACUGAGGCACGGUACAGACUCCUACGGGAGGCAGCAGUGGGGAAUUUUGGACAAUGGGCGAAAGCCUGUUCCAGCCAUUCCGCGUGCAGGAUGAAGGCCCUCGGGUUGUAAACUGCUUUUGUACAGAACGAAAAGGUUUCUACUAAUACUAGGAGCUCAUGACGGUACUGUAAGAAUAAGCACCGGCUAACUACGUGCCAGCCGCCGCCGUAA